GAAGAAACUAAAGAAGAACAGCAUCAAACCAGACUCGCUCAGAAACGAGUUUGCUUAAUUUAAUUACGAGACGAACACGUGUACAGUAACAGUAAAACCAAUCUGCAGUGAUUCCUAGAAAAAGGUUCCGUAGGUACUGAGGUUGCCUAUAACUUGCAUUGAACAAACCUGUCCACAAUGAUCUUUAUUCAUAUACCAAUUCAACUCUCAGACCCUUGAAAGAGUGCACGUAGAAUUUCAGGGAAACUGCCGUUCAUUUAGAGCUUUCAUCAAUCUUAGUUUGAAGCUUGUGUA
This 294-nucleotide long non-coding RNA is filed under the name Linum usitatissimum (flax). Its description in RNAcentral is "long non-coding RNA (LUSI_LNC000882)". The record is from RNAcentral. Lineage: Eukaryota; Viridiplantae; Streptophyta; Magnoliopsida; Malpighiales; Linaceae.